GAUGAACGCUGGCGGCGUGCCUAAUACAUGCAAGUCGAGCGAACGGACGAGAAGCUUGCUUUUCUGAUGUUAGCGGCGGACGGGUGAGUAACACGUGGAUAACCUACCUAUAAGACUGGGAUAACUUCGGGAAACCGGAGCUAAUACCGGAUAAUAUUUUGAACCGCAUGGUUCAAAAGUGAAAGAUGGUCUUGCUGUCACUUAUAGAUGGAUCCGCGCUGCAUUAGCUAGUUGGUAAGGUAACGGCUUACCAAGGCAACGAUGCAUAGCCGACCUGAGAGGGUGAUCGGCCACACUGGAACUGAGACACGGUCCAGACUCCUACGGGAGGCAGCAGUAGGGAAUCUUCCGCAAAGGGCGAAAGCCUGACGGAGCAACGCCGCGUGAGUGAUGAAGGUCUUCGGAUCGUAAAACUCUGUUAUUAGGGAAGAACAUAUGUGUAAGUAACUGUGCACAUCUUGACGGUACCUAAUCAGAAAGCCACGGCUAACUACGUG
Molecule: ribosomal RNA, 497 nt
Filed under: uncultured bacterium
Lineage: Bacteria
Description: partial 16S ribosomal RNA
Rfam family: Bacterial small subunit ribosomal RNA
Source: RNAcentral